UGCCCGGUGGUGUAGCGGUAGCACGUCAGCCUUUGGAGCUGUAAGCCCUGGUUCGAACCCAGGCCGGGCAGCCA
This 74-nucleotide transfer RNA is filed under the name Pseudomonadales bacterium. RNAcentral's name for it is "tRNA-Gln". It matches the Rfam family "tRNA". From Rfam's summary of the family: Transfer RNA (tRNA) molecules are approximately 80 nucleotides in length. Their secondary structure includes four short double-helical elements and three loops (D, anti-codon, and T loops). Lineage: Bacteria; Pseudomonadati; Pseudomonadota; Gammaproteobacteria; Pseudomonadales. RNAcentral also lists the same sequence under 3 other names. The record is from RNAcentral.